RNAcentral lists this ribosomal RNA (465 nucleotides) under uncultured bacterium. RNAcentral describes it as "bacterial SSU rRNA". It matches the Rfam family "Bacterial small subunit ribosomal RNA", at positions 338 to 795 of the family's 1533-position model. The record is from RNAcentral.
CCUACGGGUGGCAGCAGUGGGGAAUAUUGCACAAUGGGCGCAAGCCUGAUGCAGCCAUGCCGCGUGUAUGAAGAAGGCCUUCGGGUUGUAAAGUACUUUCAGUCGUGAGGAAGGGGGUGUCGUUAAUAGCGGCAUUCUUUGACGUUAGCGACAGAAGAAGCACCGGCUAACUCCGUGCCAGCAGCCGCGGUAAUACGGAGGGUGCGAGCGUUAAUCGGAAUUACUGGGCGUAAAGCGCAUGCAGGUGGUUUGUUAAGUCAGAUGUGAAAGCCCGGGGCUCAACCUCGGAAUAGCAUUUGAAACUGGCAGACUAGAGUACUGUAGAGGGGGGUAGAAUUUCAGGUGUAGCGGUGAAAUGCGUAGAGAUCUGAAGGAAUACCGGUGGCGAAGGCGGCCCCCUGGACAGAUACUGACACUCAGAUGCGAAAGCGUGGGGAGCAAACAGGAUUAGAUACCCUAGUAGUC